Molecule: long non-coding RNA, 424 nt
Filed under: Salvator merianae (Argentine black and white tegu)
Lineage: Eukaryota; Metazoa; Chordata; Lepidosauria; Squamata; Teiidae
Description: lncRNA (ENSSMRG00000018174.1)
Source: RNAcentral
CAGUCCCCAGGAGCCCGUGUGCCCAUCUCCUUUCCAAGUUGGCAUGCCCACUGUUGCACGUUGAACCAACUGGAUGCUCCGAAGGCUCAUAAACAGAUNCCUACUAAAUUUAGAACCACAAGAACCUUUGGUGUUUAUGAUCAACUCAGAACACUUGCUAAAUUACAGGUUGGAAAAUUAAAGAAGCGAUCAAGAAAGAAAAUCACCACCAUGUGUAGGAGCCCUGGAAGAAACAGACUGGAAAGCAAACACAAGCAUAUGGUGAAUGACACAAAGAAGCAUUUUCUUUGGCUUACAGAUCAUCAUUAUUANGUUGAUGAUGUCCAAAUACACUCACGGAAUUCUUGGUAUGAAAUUCUCUGACACCCAGGCACAAGAGCUCCUAAACUGUGGUGUAGAAUAAAACAAAUGCUCUCUCAACCCA